UACGUAGGGAGCAAGCGUUGUCCGGAAUCAUUGGGCGUAAAGGGCUCGUAGGCGGCCAACUAAGUCCGACGUGAAAUCCCCAGGCUUAACCUGGGAACUGCGUCGGAUACUGGAUGGCUUGAAUCCGGGAGAGGGAUGCGGAAUUCCAGGUGUAGCGGUGAAAUGCGUAGAUAUCUGGAGGAACACCGGUGGCGAAGGCGGCAUCCUGGACCGGCAUUGACGCUGAGGAGCGAAAGCCAGGGGAGCAAACGGG
Molecule: ribosomal RNA, 253 nt
Filed under: uncultured bacterium
Lineage: Bacteria
Description: partial 16S ribosomal RNA
Rfam family: Bacterial small subunit ribosomal RNA
Source: RNAcentral